This 451-nucleotide ribosomal RNA is filed under the name uncultured bacterium. RNAcentral's name for it is "partial 16S ribosomal RNA". It matches the Rfam family "Bacterial small subunit ribosomal RNA", at positions 29 to 523 of the family's 1533-position model. The record is from RNAcentral.
AACGAACGCUGGCGGCAGGCUUAACACAUGCAAGUCGAACGGGUGUAGCAAUACAUCAGUGGCAGACGGGUGAGUAACACGUGGGAACCUUCCUAGAGGUACGGAACAACUCAGGGAAACUUGAGCUAAUACCGUAUAAGCUCUUGCGAGGAAAGAUUUAUCGCCUUUAGACGGGCCCGCGUAGGAUUAGGUAGUUGGUGGGGUAAUGGACUACCAAGCCUACGAUCCUUAGCUGAUCUGAGAGGAUGAUCAGCCACACUGGGACUGAGACACGGCCCAGACCCCUACGGGAGGCAGCAGUGGGGAAUCUUGGACAAUGGGCGCAAGCCUGAUCCAGCCAUGCCGCGUGAGUGAAGAAGGCCUUCGGGUUGUAAAGCUCUUUUACCAGGGACGAUAAUGACGGUACCUGGAGAAUAAGCCCCGGCAAACUUCGUGCCAGCCGCCGCCGUAA